This 440-nucleotide ribosomal RNA is filed under the name uncultured bacterium. Its description in RNAcentral is "partial 16S ribosomal RNA". It matches the Rfam family "Bacterial small subunit ribosomal RNA", at positions 338 to 795 of the family's 1533-position model. The record is from RNAcentral.
CCUACGGGUGGCAGCAGUAGGGAAUAUUGCACAAUGGGGGAAACCCUGAAGCAGCAACGCCGCGUGAGGGAAGAAGGUUUUCGGAUUGUAAACCUCUGUCGUUAGAGAAGAAAAUGACGGUAUCUGACGAAUAAGCACCGGCUAACUACGUGCCAGCAGCCGCGGUAAUACGGAGGGGGCAAGCGUUAUCCGGAAUGACUGGGCGUAAAGGGCGCGUAGGCGGGAGUGCAAGUCAGAUGUGAAAUCCGAGGGCUUAACCCUAGAACUGCUUUUGAAACUGUGGUUCUGGAGUGUAGGAGAGGUAGGUGGAAUUCUUGGUGUAGCGGUGAAAUGCGUAGAGAUCAGGAGGAAUACUAGUGGCGAAGGCGACCUGCUAGACCGUAACUGACGCUGAUGCGCGAAAGCGUGGGGAGCAAACAGGAUUAGAUACCCUAGUAGUC